UUUACAACCCCAGAAUACUCCUUUUCUCAAUACUCUAUCUAUCUUCCAUUCCAUUAUCAGAGAAAGAAAAAAAAGUUCAGUAGUAGCUAUAGAUACACGAGACACAUUUGCUGAACUCUUUCACAUCCACAUAAAUGCCCUAUGGAAUGUGCAGCCUCCACUGAAGUUCUGCAGGAGAUAUUCUUCCACAAGGAAAAGACAAAGACCAAACGCCACUUAAUAGGAUACGCAUAGAAGUGUGAUGAAUCAUCCGAGCACAGCUGGCUUUUGGUCAAAAAUUAUCACGGGCAGCUGGAAUUUAGAAGAAAAUAAGGUGAAGGAGCUCAGUGUGAAGAUGUGAAGAGACUUGCUUUGCAGGGAGGUAUCCAUCACCCUGCUUCUCCUCUCCCUGUACAGAAACAGGUUACAUACCUUACAGCAGUACCUGCUCGCCGUUGCACUUCAAGACAAUUUCCAAAACUGUGCUGCUGCAAUUCCUACAGCUCUGGAACAAACAGUAUGCCAGCAGAAAGCACCAUGUGUGAAACACAGGGAUGCUUUGUAGCCUGUGUCAGCAGCACACGCAGGAAACCGAGCUAUGCAAAGUUGGGCGAUAAUGAGCGUGGUACCACCAAGACUGCUAAUAUUUAAAGAGUAACAAUGAAGCACAGUUUUGUAGUUAAAUGCAAAAUUAAGAAGAUGAUGCACAAUAAUGG
Long non-coding RNA from Gallus gallus (chicken), 695 nucleotides. Lineage: Eukaryota; Metazoa; Chordata; Aves; Galliformes; Phasianidae. The record is from Ensembl.